This 483-nucleotide ribosomal RNA is filed under the name uncultured bacterium. RNAcentral describes it as "bacterial SSU rRNA". It matches the Rfam family "Bacterial small subunit ribosomal RNA", at positions 30 to 507 of the family's 1533-position model. The record is from RNAcentral.
AUUGAACGCUGGCGGCAUGCCUUACACAUGCAAGUCGAACGGUAACAGGUCUUCGGAUGCUGACGAGUGGCGAACGGGUGAGUAAUACAUCGGAACGUGCCCGAUCGUGGGGGAUAACGGAGCGAAAGCUUUGCUAAUACCGCAUACGAUCUACGGAUGAAAGCAGGGGACCGCAAGGCCUUGCGCGGACGGAGCGGCCGAUGGCAGAUUAGGUAGUUGGUGGGAUAAAAGCUUACCAAGCCGACGAUCUGUAGCUGGUCUGAGAGGACGACCAGCCACACUGGGACUGAGACACGGCCCAGACUCCUACGGGAGGCAGCAGUGGGGAAUUUUGGACAAUGGGCGAAAGCCUGAUCCCAGCCAUGCCGCGUGCAGGAUGAAGGCCUUCGGGUUGUAAACUGCUUUUGUACGGAACGAAAAGACUCCUUCUAAUAAAGGGGGUCCAUGACGGUACCGUAAGAAUAAGCACCGGCUAACUACGUG